Molecule: ribosomal RNA, 461 nt
Filed under: uncultured bacterium
Lineage: Bacteria
Description: partial 16S ribosomal RNA
Rfam family: Bacterial small subunit ribosomal RNA
Source: RNAcentral
CCUACGGGAGGCAGCAGUGAGGAAUAUUGGUCAAUGGGCGGAAGCCUGAACCAGCCAAGUCGCGUGAGGGAAUAAGGCCCUACGGGUCGUAAACCUCUUUUGCCGGGGAGCAAGGGCGUGGACGUGUCCCGGCCCGGAGAGUACCCGGAGAAAAAGCAUCGGCUAACUCCGUGCCAGCAGCCGCGGUAAUAAGGAGGCUCAGAGCGUUAUCCGGAUUUUUUGGGUUUAAAGGGCGCGGAGUGGGGUUGUUAAGUCAGUUGUGAAAGUUUGCGGCGCAACCGGAAAAUUGCAAUUGAUAAUGGCAGUCUUGAGUACAGUUGAGGUAGGCGGAAUUCGUGGUGGAGCGGUGAAAUGCUUAGAUAUCACGAAGAACUCCGAUUGCGAAGGCAGCUUACUAAACUGCCACUGACAUUGAUGCUCGAAAGUGUGGGUAUCAAACAGGAGUAGAUACCCGGGUAGUC